Pelobates cultripes (western spadefoot toad) is the source of this 486-nucleotide non-coding RNA. NCBI's taxonomy places the organism in Eukaryota, Metazoa, Chordata, Amphibia, Anura, Pelobatidae. The record is from the annotation of a GenBank genome assembly.
UGAUUCUAAAAUGGCUUUGGAAAUCAUUUGCAACCAAUAGCAGCUUCCAUGCUCUGAAAUGUAACAUUUGUAUACAUACAGCUACGUUGCGGCUGCUGAAUGUUCACUAAUGUGAGCAGGGUUAUUCACUAAUGUGAGCAGGUAAUUUCAAAUUUAAAGCAGCACUAUCACUGCCUGGGGACUUUGCACCAUUGCCAAGACCCCCAAUGGUGACAUCGCCGGGGUGGGUGCAGGUGAAGGUGUGUUUGAGAGUACAGGCGAAUGUACAGAAUUGAGGUCUAUGGAGGACCCUGCGAGACCGUGGAAUUCUAUGUUUAUGAAAUACACAUUUCAGGGGGGAGGGGUGACGGGAGCAGUGCCCCUUUAAUGUCAAAAUAGCUGAAGAGGAAAAUUCUCCCAGUCACCUAUACUUUCCAUUUAGCUACUUUGACCUUCAAUUUGAAAUUAAUUUUGAAUGCUCAGGAAUUCUCAAUUUAGUUAAUAACC